RNAcentral lists this long non-coding RNA (285 nucleotides) under Ananas comosus (pineapple). RNAcentral describes it as "long non-coding RNA (ACOM_LNC034608)". Lineage: Eukaryota; Viridiplantae; Streptophyta; Magnoliopsida; Poales; Bromeliaceae. The record is from RNAcentral.
AUAUAUACAUACAUAUAUACAUACAUAUAUAUAUACAUAUAUAUGUAUAUAGUAAAACGCUCUUUUUGCUAUCAAGUUUUUAACCCUUGGAUGAAAAUUUGUAGGGUCAGGAUGAUAUUAGUCAGUUAGAGUUGAGUGGUCCCCCUAGAGUUGAGUGGUCCCCACUGGAUUAUAGUAUUUAAUCCAAUGGUUAGAAAUAAUGAAAAGAGUUGAUCCAAAGGCUAAAAAACUGAUAGCAACAAUAAAAUUUUGCUACUAAUAAUAGCUCAGUCCAACUCUCUCUAU